UACGGAGGGUGCAAGCGUUAAUCGGAAUUACUGGGCGUAAAGGGCGCGUAGGUGGUUAAUUAAGUUGUCUGUGAAAUUCCUGGGCUUAACCUAGGGUUGUCAGGCAAAACUGAAUAACUAGAGUAUGAUAGAGGGUAGUGGAAUUUCAGGUGUAGCGGUGAAAUGCGUAGAUAUCUGAAGGAACACCAGUGGCGAAGGCGACUACCUGGGUCAAUACUGACACUGAGGCGCGAAAGCGUGGGGAGCAAACAGG
This 253-nucleotide ribosomal RNA is filed under the name uncultured bacterium. RNAcentral describes it as "partial 16S ribosomal RNA". It matches the Rfam family "Bacterial small subunit ribosomal RNA", at positions 524 to 776 of the family's 1533-position model. The record is from RNAcentral.